Molecule: ribosomal RNA, 254 nt
Filed under: uncultured bacterium
Lineage: Bacteria
Description: partial 16S ribosomal RNA
Rfam family: Bacterial small subunit ribosomal RNA
Source: RNAcentral
UACGGAGGGUGCAAGCAUUGAUCGGAAUUACUGGGCGUAAAGGGCGCGUAGGCGGCUUAUUAAGUCGGAUGUGAAAUUCCGGGGCUCAACCCCGGAGCUGCAUUUGAAACUGAUGAGCUAGUGGCUAGUGAGGGAAAACAGAAUUCCACGUGUAGCGGAUGAAAUGCGUAGAUAUGUGGAAGAAUACCGGUGGUGAAGACGGUUUUCUGUGCUAAGCCAGACGCUGAGGCGCGAAAGCUAGGGGAGCAAACAGG